AAUUGGAGGGCAAGUCUGGUGCCAGCAGCCGCGGUAAUUCCGGCUCCAAUAGCGUAUAUUAAAGUUGUUGCAGUUAAAAAGCUCGUAGUUGAAUUUCGGGAUCAAUAUUUCGGUCAUGCCGUUGGUAUGCACUGUUAUCAUUGAUUUCUCACCUUCUAAAGAACCGUAAUGCCAUUAAUUUGGUGUUACGGGGAAUUAGGACUGUUACCUUGAAAAAAUUAGAGUGUUUAAAGCAGGCUCACGCUUGAAUACAUUAGCAUGGAAUAAUGAAAUAGGACAUCCGAUUCUAUUUUGUUGGUUUCUAGGAUCGAUGUAAUGAUUAAUAGGGAUAGUUGGGGGCAUUAGUAUUCAAUUGUCAGAGGUGAAAUUCUUGGAUUUAUUGGAGACUAACUACUGCGAAAGCAUUUGCCAAGGAUGUUUUCAUUAAUCAAGAACGAAAGUUAGGGGAUCGAAGACGAUCAGAUACCGUCGUAGUCUUAACCAUAAACUAUGCCGACUAGGGAUCGGAUGAUGUUAAUUUUUUAAUGACUCAUUCGGCGCCUUACGGGAAACCAAAGUGU
RNAcentral lists this ribosomal RNA (560 nucleotides) under uncultured Glomus. RNAcentral's name for it is "SSU rRNA". It matches the Rfam family "Eukaryotic small subunit ribosomal RNA", at positions 546 to 1106 of the family's 1831-position model. The record is from RNAcentral. Lineage: Eukaryota; Fungi; Glomeromycota; Glomeromycetes; Glomerales; Glomeraceae.